This 2508-nucleotide long non-coding RNA is filed under the name Homo sapiens (human). Its description in RNAcentral is "non-protein coding lnc-PCNX2-3:1". Lineage: Eukaryota; Metazoa; Chordata; Mammalia; Primates; Hominidae. The record is from RNAcentral.
UCAGGACCCGCCCACCGCGUGUCGCAGGCCCCGCCCCCAAGCGGUGCUUUGACCGGAAGCACCGCCCUCAAGACCACGCAUGCGCCUUCUCCCGAGUCCCCGGUCCGCGCCUGCGCAUUCAGCCCUCGGCAUUGGCGCCUGUGCCGCGGCAGUUCCUAUAGGCGGAGCGGGUUGUACGGUCUCUUAAGUUUCAUUCUGGGUUCAGGGCUUUUGUGGGGUAUUUGCAGAGAUAAGUGCGUGAGAACGUCAGUUAUUAAACUAUUGCUGCUUCAAGUCAGCGCCAUCACCCAAGUUCUGCCCCUUGACUCCGGACCUAGGAGCUGAAAUUGCCCAAGGCUGCCGGGACAGCCCUUUUGUAGAAGGUUUGUGACCUGGAAGCAUUCCUCAAAGGGGGAUGCCAUGUUAAUGACUCCAACUUUGUUCUCAAACAUUCCUGCAGAAUAGAAUCAGCUGGGGAGUUUUAAACUUGCUCUGAUGCCUGGGUUUCACCUGCAGUAAUAGGGAGUGUCAGAAGACAAAAUUACAAGUUUAGUUUAAAGAUCUAAUUGGCUUAUAUUUAGGAUCUAGAAUCGAGAAAUAGAUCAUUUCAUAAAGCAAAUAGAGUGUUCCAAUGAGUUGUGCAGAGGAGGUUGGCUUUAUGGGCAAAAAAAGGCUGAAGAACAAAACAAAGAGUGGGUAUUUCAAAGUUACUUUCCUUAUAGGGUUAAAACAGAUUGGACUUCGUUAUUGUACUGACUCAGGUUAACUACAAUCUCCUGUUUUUUGGGAAAACGGGCCUGUUUCAAAGUUCAGUUUGGUUACAUGGCACUUGGCACAAGUGACUCCAUUCUGGUUUGGUCUAGUCUGCUAGGACCUAGUGCAGGAGGUUAGUCCAAAACAAUGGCCUCCCAUAAAUCUUGUUUAACAUGAGUAAUUGGUCUUGAGCGAGUCUUGAGCACCUGUAUUCUUUUUUCUUCUUUCUAAACUCCAGGAAGUUCCUGAAGUGCGCUAGGGUUGAGAACCACUGGUGUAGGCAGGCUUCCCGUCCUCAGCCAUGCAUAGGACGCCCAGUUUUCCCUCUUUACUUUCACACCAAAGUGUAUAAAGAUCUCCUCUUGCAAAGAAUUAAAUAGCUUCUCCGUCUCACUUUACCACUGCAAGUGUUCCGGCCAACGAAUGACGUGGCAGUGGCCUUGGGCCACAUUUACCUGUAAACUCUUUCAGUCUAACAUGUGUACAGCUUAAUUUGUAGUCAGUCGUUCCCCAUCCUGGCUGAGAAAGCAGUUCAGUGAGUGCUCAACUUAAUUGGUUUCUGCCCACACAUGGACCUCUUGGUUUCCCUUUAGCCUGAGACAUAUGCCAGUCCAAUGAUUAUCUAAAAAAACAAAGUUGGAUUUGUAAAAUAUAGCUGUCAUCACCAUCAUUUCUGCAACAUUUGUAAUGCUCUAUUAUUAUAACAGUAUACUAUUUAUUAUCCCAACUGUUAAUGUAGGGCCUUCCACCUUGAUUUAUUUUGCAGUCCAUAUAUGUUGAAUACAGUGAAAAGUUGAUAUAGUAAAGUAAAUUCAUAGGAGGAGCUUCCAAAAAAAAGGAAAAAAGUAUAUGUAUCUCUUGUAUCAAAAGUACUCGUUUUAAAUGUUAAUCAGAUAGCAUUUUCCAUCACUGAAAAGCAGUUUGGAUUUGCAAGGCUCACCGGAAGUUGGGUUCUUUUGUUUUGUUGCUGUGCCUGGAAUUCUGGCAUCAGUUUAAGUAGCUCAAAGAUACAUGGAAUUCAGAUAUGGUGAAUCAACGUCUCACAAAACAGAAAAAAAGACUCCAUAGUUGAAUGUACUUUAUCCAUGGAAAAUGAAUUAUUUGGAUGGUAGUUCCACGGAUAUCUUCUUGUUAGAAAAUUCAUUGAUUUGAUGCUUAAUUUCUACAGUUUCCUGUAUGUGUUAUUAGGUAACAAUAACAAAAAAUUAAAUAGCUUAUAUCUCUUAGAGAUUAACAACAAAAGAAGAUGGCAUAAAUUGAAACAAAUUUUAAAAUAAAUGGGAUCUUAAAGUACUGUACCAUACUGAAUCCAACUUUUGCUUCCUAUCUAAUCAACAUCCAAUGGACGGAUGUUUGUGUCCCCCCAAAAUUCAUAUUGUUGAAAUCCUAACCCACAAGGUGAAGGUAUUAAAGUGUGGGGCCUUAAAGAAGCAAUUAGGUAAUCAGGUCACUAGAGUGGAGUCCUCAUGAAUGUGAUUAGUACCCUUAGAAAAAGGCGGGAGAAAACUUGCUUUCUAUCUCUCUGCUCUCUGCCAUGUGAAGAUACGAGGAGAAGACUGCUCUCUGUCAACCAAGAUGAGGGCCUUCCCCAAGAACCCAGUCGUGUUGGCACCCUGAUCUUAAACUUCAGCCUCCAGAGUUGUAAGAAAUAAAUGUUUUUUUGUUUAAGCCACUCAUCUGUGGUACUCUAUUAUAGUAGCCUGAGCUAACACACAAGGUAGAAUUAAUUACCUAAGGAACAGGUGAUUCCAAAGAUUUCUUCUGCAACACCUGGGU